RNAcentral lists this ribosomal RNA (253 nucleotides) under uncultured bacterium. RNAcentral's name for it is "partial 16S ribosomal RNA". It matches the Rfam family "Bacterial small subunit ribosomal RNA", at positions 524 to 776 of the family's 1533-position model. The record is from RNAcentral.
UACAGAGGCCUCGAGCGUUGUUCGGAAUUACUGGGCGUAAAGGGAAUGUAGGUGGUGUCGUAAGUCAGAUGUGAAAGCCCCGGGCUUAACCCGGGAAGUGCAUUUGAUACUGUGGCGCUAGAGUGCGUGAGAGGAAAGCGGAAUUUCCAGUGUAGGGGUGAAAUCCGUAGAUAUUGGAAGGAAUACCGAUGGCGAAGGCAGCUUUCUGGCACGUAACUGACACUGAGAUUCGAAAGCAUGGGUAGCAAACAGG